AGAGUUUGAUCAUGGCUCAGGAUGAACGCUGGCGGCGUGCCUAACACAUGCAAGUCGAGCGAGAAGGUUAUGAUAGAUUCUUCGGAUGAUAGAUUAACUGGAAAGCGGCGGACGGGUGAGUAACGCGUGGGUAACCUGCCCCAUACACAGGGAUAGCCAUUGGAAACGAUGAUUAAUACCUGAUAACACAUUUGAAUCGCAUGAUUUGAAUGUCAAAGAUUUAUCGGUAUGGGAUGGACCCGCGUCUGAUUAGCUAGUUGGUAAGGUAAUGGCUUACCAAGGCGACGAUCAGUAGCCGACCUGAGAGGGUGAUCGGCCACACUGGAACUGAGACACGGUCCAGACUCCUACGGGAGGCAGCAGUGGGGAAUAUUGCACAAUGGGCGCAAGCCUGAUGCAGCAACGCCGCGUGAACGAAGAAGGCUUUCGGGUCGUAAAGUUCUUUUCUUAGGGAAGAAAAAUGACGGUACCUAAGGAAUAAGCACCGGCUAAAUACGUGCCAGCAGCCGCGGUAAUACGUAUGGUGCAAGCGUUAUCCGGAAUCACUGGGCGUAAAGGGUACGUAGGCGGUUUUGCAAGUCAGAAGUGAAAGGCUACGGCUCAACCGUAGUAAGCUUUUGAAACUGCAAGACUAGAGUUCAGGAGAGGUAAGUGGAAUUCCUAGUGUAGAGGUGAAAUUCGUAGAUAUUAGGAGGAACACCAGUGGCGAAAGGCGACUUACUGGACUGAUACUGACGCUGAGUACGAAAGCGUGGGGAGCGAACAGGAUUAGAUACCCUGUAGUCCACGCCGUAAACGAUGAAUACUAGGUGGUCGGGGGUCGAACCUCGGUGCCGCAGC
Molecule: ribosomal RNA, 840 nt
Filed under: uncultured bacterium
Lineage: Bacteria
Description: bacterial SSU rRNA
Rfam family: Bacterial small subunit ribosomal RNA
Source: RNAcentral